CACGUAGGGCGCAGGCGUUGUCCGGAAUUAUUGGGCGUAAAGGGCCAGUAGGCGGCCAACUAAGUCACACGUGAAAUCCCCAGGCUUAACCUGGGAACUGCGUGUGAUACUGGAUGGCUUGAAUUCGGGAGAGGGAUGCAGAAUUCCAGGUGUAGCGGUGAAAUGCGUAGAUAUCUGGAGGAACACCUGUGGCGAAAGCGGCGCACUGGACCACAACUGACGCUGAGGCGCGAAAGCUAGGGGAGCAAACAGG
Molecule: ribosomal RNA, 253 nt
Filed under: uncultured bacterium
Lineage: Bacteria
Description: partial 16S ribosomal RNA
Rfam family: Bacterial small subunit ribosomal RNA
Source: RNAcentral